Molecule: ribosomal RNA, 203 nt
Filed under: Bigelowiella longifila
Lineage: Eukaryota; Cercozoa; Chlorarachniophyceae
Description: partial Eukaryotic large subunit ribosomal RNA
Rfam family: Eukaryotic large subunit ribosomal RNA
Source: RNAcentral
GAGCCCCGACGAGAGUUUUCUUUUCUUGUUAACAGAUUUCAAUGACCCUGGAAUCGGAUUGACCGGAGAUAGGGUUAUCGGUCUGGGAAAGGCGGUCGCUUUUGGACCGCUUCGGUGCGCUCUCGACGUUCCUUGAAAACCUGGCGGCGUGUCUUAUUCGCACUCCUGGUCGUACUCAUAACCGCAUCAGGUCUCCAAGGUUA